GGUGAAAGGAGGAGGAUGAUGAUGAUACAUUGCUGUAUCCUGAGUUUAUAUAUAAAGUCUGAAAUGUAUCAUGACGUGUAAGGCAGACUAAGCCUGUGUCUGACUGGAUUUCUAUAAUGUGGCGUUUACAUUAGGCACCACGAAGAAUUCUGAACAUACAGGUAAAUCUGACAUAUACCAGGAGUUGAGCAGUAACACUACCUCCUUGAGGCUGUUGGGUGUGGUGACCCACUUCCACUUAGACAAAUGAAGGCACAAUUAAAUGUGAUCCAGAUUUAAGAGCCUGGACUUCUUAGAAGUUUUGCCUUAAUGGGAACUGAGUAACAACUGAGAACCACAUUCUAAUCUAUCGCAGCAGUGUGACCCCAUGAUGUCAGUAGAGUUCAUCUGGAUUUAACUGAUCCUAGCUCUUCUGCUCAAUCUGUGGUCUUUUCCACAACUCCACCUCUUUACUACACUUUGACUCCUUUCAUGAUGCAAAUAGCUUGUGGGUAAGGCUGUACUUGUGCAGAGAGGGUGCAUGCUCUCUGAACAGGCCACUUGUGUGGCAGAACCACAUCAGCUCUGCAGCCAGGAAAGCCUUCAUACCUGCAAUGGAGUGGCUACCCAUCAGUGCAGAAUUUGAUAUAAAAUAUUGCCAGAAGGACACCAAGUCUAUCCAGAGUGCCAUGCUAUAUGAUGUCCAACACUACAGGUAAUGUUCCACUGUUGAAGUACAGUAGCAGUUCUUUUCAGAAAAUUGAUUUUUAUACUUGUUUCCAUUAUUCCCAAGAGUUUUGCCAAAUGUAGGAUCCUAAAAUAAAUUGUACAAAUAGGGAGGGAAAAGAGGAAUAGUUCAAUUAAUCAGUGUACCUUUCCUCAAAAAAAUUCAGUUAAAAGAAACCAUCUGUUAAAACAUCAUUUGACUCCCAUGUCAAGGUUGACUGCUCAGAAGGAAGAAUCUCUUGUCAACAGUGGAAAUAGAUUCAGCCCAGAACCCAAAUCUAUGCCUGAAAUUUUGAGAGUUCAGAAUGCUUGUGCUCCUGGAAUUUUAAUCUCUUCUGACACAAUAGGGGAAAAAAGAAUGCCUUUCAAUGUUGCAUUUUCUGUGGCAGGAAAACUAUACACAGCACACUUGUCCUAUAACCAGAAUAUUACUUCACCUGGGGAGGUACUUAAAGUGAAGCCUUUUGUACAAUAAGUAAUUUUUCCACUUAUUCACCCAUUGGAGUAAGCUUGGGAAAUUGUUUGAAUCAUUUCUCUUUAAAAUUAUUUUUGAU
Molecule: long non-coding RNA, 1259 nt
Organism: Dermochelys coriacea (leatherback sea turtle)
Lineage: Eukaryota; Metazoa; Chordata; Testudines; Dermochelyidae
Exons: 4
Source: RefSeq, a predicted model, not a curated record